GGAAUACUCUCGGCACAAAGUCUACAAUGUCUUGACCAAAACACACUCUGCUACAAAAAUCUUCAGUACAGCUGCAAGGUCGUCAUGAUUGCCUUCCACGUCAACAAGAACCUCACAAAUGUUUAUGUAACUGGCUAGGAGACAAACCAGGUCAUCUGCAUGAAAUCUGGCACCAGCGUCACGAAUACACAGACAGUACACACAGGGCGCUGACUCAGCAAGACAUAUGAUGCCCCGUGUAGAUAAGCAUCCUGCUCUUCGUAUGUCAAUUUUCUUUAAGUUGCUGUUGCAAGACAAGCCUGUAACAAUUUCAGCCUCACUGUAAUAGUUACGCUGGUCACCUAUGAGUGAAAAUGUUUUCAACUUUUUUUAAUGUUUCAAGAAUCCCAAAGAAGUAACAUUAAUGUCAUACAACUUCAGAUGUUGUACAUUUUUGGCUCCUGUCAAGUAACCAUCCAUAGAAAACUGUCCUAUCAGAGGUGUAUUCCAAAGAUCAAUUUUCUUGAAUUGUGCCUAAAACCUCAGAGUCUGCUUGUAUUAGAAAUUCCCAUCGUGUACAUACGCGCCUCACUCCAUGAAUAAUGUCAUAUAAUGACAAAUUGAAAAAUGUAAUAAGCAAAAUUUCUUCGGGCAGAUCAUGAAUGUAUGGACUCUGAAAAACAAAGAAACAUAAAUCUAUGAGCUCUUUGAACACAGACAAAGUUCAGAUGUGUUCAUGUAACACUACGCAUUAGAGCUCAAUACUUGCAUCACAAAUUUACAGGCUUUGUAAAUGACUUGUCAUGAUCCCAGAUAAUUUCAGAAGUUGAUUCAUUUGCUUUCAUUGCUGCAGCCUUCCACUUCAAGCGAAGUACCUCCAUUUUUAAUUCAGCUCUUCUUUCAUAGAUUGUAGUUUUAUGUCGUGCUCUUCCUUAGCGAGCUGAAUUAUAACAUUUUCCGAUUCGAGUUGAUGUUGAUGGAGUUGGUGCAGUAUCUUCGUGGCGAGAGAUUGCCCCUGGUGAGGUAGAAUGGUAUGGUGCAUAGGCAUCAAAAGCCCUGUAAAAUUGUGAUGCAAAUGGAAAUUUCUGCCUGACAAAUUGUUUUAUACCUUUAACAUUUGCUAUUAACAUACAGUGAACAGAUACACAUUAGGACCAUGGGGCAUUGUCGUACAGUCUCCAUGGAACGACUUCUUUAUAGACUGAGAGACUAGUCUUGUACGCUGACGCAGAGGCAAUCAACACUGCUUUGUAGAAUAUACUUAAUGUUGAAAUUGUGUAUACCAUAUGGAGUGAAGUGAAAUGGAGUUGAUAUGCGACGACCUCUUUCAGGUCACAUGUUUAAUGGUGGACAUUUAACACACAUUGCGAGAUGAUGGCAUAAAUUCGCUUAACCUCUGGCAACAUUUUUAAGGUAAUAUGUGCUAUGGAAUACUUAAUCUACUAACAUGCUUAGUUGCGCUUCCACAUCCUCAGUAUUGUCAUCAUAUGGGUUAGUUAGUUGCUGAAAUUCCUUUGGUACUAUGCCCAUGACACGGCUGGUCAGAGUGCUGACAUCCUUCGGGGGGUGAACAUCCACCAGUUUUCUUUAGUUCUCUUUCAUAAUCCCGCAUUCCCUUUCUAGCUGAUAAUUUCAGUCUUAUCCACAAAGCUUUCAGCUUAUCUGUGUUAUGCAUGAUUACAAAUCUAGCAUGGUUAGUAAGUCUAACCCUUCCCAAUGCCUCUUGCUUUGACUUAACAGAACUGGCAUCCCACCGUUUCCCAUCAAUAACACGGGUAUUGUCCUCUAUACAGUCUAAGAGGAAGAACUUUUGCUCACUUGUCCAGUUAUUCACUCUGCAUUGCUGACGAUAUCACCUCUACAUGCGAUCUCACCUGCUGCACACAAUGUAAACACAUAUAUUAUGUGAAGCGGAACAUGUGUGCAACUAAACUGAGCAUGCGUGGGUUGAGAUUUCGAAAUUGGCUUCACAACGAAACGAACAAGGUAGGAUCUUAAAAUUCCAGACCUGGUCUAAACUUCCGUUUAGUUAGAUUUGCUCUCUCUAAUACAGUUUAAAUUAGACCAACGGUUCUGGUUUUCGUAAGCCUGGUUCGAAUUAAACUUCCUUAAUAAAUAAGCCCCACAGGGUCUCCACCAGUUUGGUCCCUUGGUCUUGGUGCAGCAAUUGUCAUCAGCACGUUAAUCCAGAUAAAUGACAUGCUUCAGCCGUGUAUAUAGCGAAUGGAAGUUUUAUAGAGCUCCAUUAUUCAUCUUUAUUUUACUUUCACUUUGGGCAUUGAUCGUCCUCUCAAAGCCACAAACUGGGGCAUUGUAGUACAGUCUCCAUGGAACGACUUCUUCAUAGACUGAGAGACUAGUCUUGUACGCUGACGCAGAGGCAAUCAACACUCACGAUUACUUACCUCUGCUCUAGCGACCAAUUACAUCAGUAAAGUGUAAAUACCGAAUUCCAGUGGAUUUUGAUGUGUCCCCGCUCCUAUGUUGCCGAACACAUCCUUGACUAAGCUUAUGCAAAGGAGCGAUGCUCAUUUGAUGUUCAGAACUGGAGGUAAAACUAGUUGAGCUUACCGAGCCAUGUUGCCUUUUCAACUUUGGAUGUGAACUGGAGCAUGGUUUCGAAGCAGGGAUAUGCUGAGAUUAGAGUCGCAAGAUUCUCUUCUGUGGAGGUUUCUGGUAAUCAGGGCGUGAGCUCUGUCCUUUUGUCUUGUACAAAAGUUGUGGCGGAAAACUACACCUACUCGGGAGAGCCCGCUCCCUGGGAGUCCUUGUGCAGAGCAGGCUAAGGUGUUUUGGAAGUAGCAACCCAUCACACGAAUAGGAGUUAUGCAGUCAAUCAGAAAUUGCACAUGUAACAGGCCUCCUAGUCUACCAUCACCACAUCACUCGAUCGUCAUCUACAUACAACGAAAGACAUCGGGUAAUCUGCACCGCACCGUCCGACUGUGGGGUAAGUACAAAUCAUAAGGAAAGAUCAGUUUCAAAAGUUCAAGAGAGGCCGAAAACUUUGUUUUCGGUUUGUUUCCACUCAGCUGUUGAGAUUUAUCAUUAAGUAUACUGAGAAGAGGUAUUAUAAAUAUACAAUUUAUAGUUAAAAUUUUCGAUUCGGUAUAUAUUCGUUUGUACUUACAAUAGAGUAGAAAACGUAAUUGUUGAAAGUUGCUUAUAACAUUGUGUAAAGUGACGUCAAAUGAACAACCUGUGUAUAUCAUAUGUAUAUUAGUUCCAUGUAAAUUGCAUGUACACAGAUAAUCUAAAAUGUCAGCUCUAUAUAAGUAAGUGCGUUUAGUUUAAUGCCGCAAUCAUCAAUAUCCCAGCUAUAUGACGGUAUUCUGUAAAUAGCCAUGUCUGGAGCAGACAAUCCAGUGAUCAACAUCAUGACCAUCGAUCUACACAACUGUGAUAAGAUGCAGCUCUAUAUAAAGGAGUUGCCUUAGAUCAGUACUUGAAGAAAUAUGGGACAAAGGGUGGGUCAUUUUUUUAUUAAACUGCUGAACUCCU
This 3480-nucleotide long non-coding RNA is filed under the name Haliotis rubra (blacklip abalone). Its description in RNAcentral is "uncharacterized LOC124257473". The record is from RNAcentral. Lineage: Eukaryota; Metazoa; Mollusca; Gastropoda; Lepetellida; Haliotidae.